AGCGAACGCUGGCGGCAGGCUUAACACAUGCAAGUCGAACGGUCCUUCGGGAUAGUGGCGGACGGGUGAGUAACACGUGGGAACGUACCCUUAGGUUCGGAACAACACAGGGAAACUUGUGCUAAUACCGGAUAAGCCCUUCGGGGGAAAGAUCUAUCGCCGUUGGAGCGGCCCGCGGCUGAUUAGCUUGUUGGUGAGGUAAUGGCUCACCAAGGCUACGAUCAGUAGCUGGUCUGAGAGGAUGGCCAGCCACACUGGGACUGAGACACGGCCCAGACUCCUACGGGAGGCAGCAGUGGGGAAUCUUGCGCAAUGGGCGAAAGCCUGACGCAGCCAUGCCGCGUGGAUGAUGAAGGUCUUAGGAUUGUAAAAUCCUUUCACCGGGGACGAUAAUGACGGUACCCGGAGAAGAAGCCCCGGCUAACUUCGUGCCAGCCGCCGCGGUAA
This 447-nucleotide ribosomal RNA is filed under the name uncultured bacterium. Its description in RNAcentral is "partial 16S ribosomal RNA". It matches the Rfam family "Bacterial small subunit ribosomal RNA", at positions 29 to 523 of the family's 1533-position model. The record is from RNAcentral.